AAGAUCCUUGCUGAAUCCAGGUGUUGCAAUGCAGGAUGUGAUGUGUGAUGAAAUGCCAGGACUGAAGACAAACUAUUAUUCAGCAGCUCUGGGCAGAGCAGCCCUCGGGAUUUGGGAAGGCCUUUCAAUGGAUGUCAUCUUUGAGUGUAACAAGAAGAAGAAGCAGCCUUGGAAAAUAGAAGGCAACUGUUUUCUUCUGGUGGAGCUACAAGCAAGUCAGUGUAGGACAUCAUAGUCUCACUAAUGAAGAUGUUAUCUCUGGAAACUUUCUGCGUUACUCAGCAUUAAUUCCAUCCAACUGCCAAAUAAUGAUGUCCUUCACUACCAAGAUAAUUCUCUGAAUAACUGCAACAAUGUUGGGAAAUGCCACCUGAAAUUGGAUGACAAGAGAUAAUUUUUUUAUUUCAUGGGUUUACAAUAAGCUGUACCCACUUCAGUGGACAAAAAAAUGAAUGCAGAGACUUUUAUCAGCUGUUUGGCUGGCAUGUGUUUGCAUGUGCCUGAAUCCAUUUCCUGUUUGCUUUCCAAGAUCCUGAUACAGAGUGCAGCAACAUCCAGUAGCACGAGGAAUCUCCUCCCCAUCCAACCAGGGUAGGGCUCCUCAGUUAUACACCACUCCCAGUUCUAGUCUGAUUUCAGCAAGCAGUGUUUCAGCAAUUGCACAGGACAGACAUAAUUUCAAGGCAAAUCAGGCAUAUCCUAAACCAAAAUGGAUUGAUCCUACAAGAACCCACUCCCAGCACUUAACAAGUAAGUUAGUUUUCAUAAGGAUGAGAAAGUGCCUCCUGAGAAAACACAUUGCUGAGAAGAAUUAGAAGACCAAAGG
Molecule: long non-coding RNA, 826 nt
Organism: Corvus hawaiiensis (hawaiian crow)
Lineage: Eukaryota; Metazoa; Chordata; Aves; Passeriformes; Corvidae
Exons: 7
Source: RefSeq, a predicted model, not a curated record